This 253-nucleotide ribosomal RNA is filed under the name uncultured bacterium. RNAcentral describes it as "partial 16S ribosomal RNA". It matches the Rfam family "Bacterial small subunit ribosomal RNA", at positions 524 to 776 of the family's 1533-position model. The record is from RNAcentral.
UACGUAGGAGGCAAACGUUGUCCGGAAUUAUUGGGCGUAAAGAGCGUGUAGGCGGUCCGGUAAGUCAGCUGUGAAAGUCAAGGGCUCAACCCUUGAAAGCCGGUUGAUACUGUCGGGCUAGAGUCCGGAAGAGGCGAGUGGAAUUCCCGGUGUAGCGGUGAAAUGCGCAGAUAUCGGGAGGAACACCAAUGGCGAAGGCAGCUCGCUGGGACGGUACUGACGCUGAGGAGCGAAAGCGUGGGGAGCAAACAGG